This 1267-nucleotide long non-coding RNA is filed under the name Sus scrofa (pig). Its description in RNAcentral is "lncRNA (ENSSSCG00060028044.1)". Lineage: Eukaryota; Metazoa; Chordata; Mammalia; Artiodactyla; Suidae. The record is from RNAcentral.
AUUGAAUCUGCAUCUUCAUGGAUACUAGUGGGAUUCAUUACCGCUGAGCCACAAUGGGAACUCCCAGCUAGUAACCUCGAUGAUCUAGUUUGAAGAAGGCAUGUAACCUCUCUGAUCCAGUUUCCUCAUUUGUAAAAUGAAGGUAAAGAUUAUGCUGUUAUUAGUGUCCUGGGGCUGCAGUAACACAUGAGCCCAAACUGCGUGGCUGAACACAGAGAGGUGUUUUCUCACAGCUCUGGAAGCCAAAAGUCUUAAAGCAAGGGGUUAGCAUGGCUGUGCUCCCUCUAAAGUCUCUGCGGGAGGAUCCUUCCUUGCUCUUCCAGCUUCUAGUGGUCCAGGUGCUCCCUGGUUCAUAGCUGCAUCACUCCAGCCUCUGCCUCCAUCUUCACAGGGCCACCCUAGGCCUGGGAUUAUUCCACAUGCAUUGGAGCUCAAAUGUAGCUCAGUCACCAAAUCCUUCUGCAGGUGAUGCUGAUCCCUUUGCUCUCCUUCCUCAGUCUCCAGAGCUGGACCAGGAACAGCCCCCCUGCUGCCUUUCUGGGCCUCCCAGGUUGCAGCCAGGAAGAUGCUCUGAGGACAAAGUCUAGAGCUGAAGCCUGAAGGAGAGGAAGGACCCUGGACAAGCCACCAAACCAACUCCAACUGCCAUAAGGGGCCACCUCAGCAAGGCCCUUCUAGAACUGGCUGCUGGCAUUCACCUCCACAAAGAGCCCCUUGAAAUGCUGGAACUGCAUCCUGCAAAGCAGGCCUGGGAACAAACAAGAAUCAGCCUCCUACACUCCAAAAUGGGACAAAUCCUUGCAAUGUCCAGCAAUUUCAGAGGCGAAUACAGACUUCCUAGAAGCAUGCUACCCAGCCACGCUACAGAUUUCCUCAGAACUCCUCACCACUGCCCUCACCUCUGACCUGUCCAGGGACCAGCAAAAUAGAAAAGGAGGAAGUGCCCCCCUCGAUGAGCCCACGUCCCUGUCUCAGCAGCACAGACACGGUGAACAGUACAUGACCCUGUCUGCCAUCCCACUGUUUCCUCUUGCGUGCAUUCAUUUAAACCUCACCAGGGAGGUUCCAUGACCCCUAUUUUACAUGAAAGGAAACUGAGGCUCGGGGGACAUGGAAUGGUUGCCCAGUGCACGCAUGGGCAUUGCUUCCCUGAGCCUUAGUUGCCUCCCUUGACUGCAUUCACACAGCAGCAUGGAUGUAUCAUUCUGGAAACCACCUUUCUUCUGUGCCUCCUACCCCCUAAAUAAAAUGAAUACCAAGCAAAACA